Long non-coding RNA from Balaenoptera musculus (blue whale), 89 nucleotides. RefSeq lists it as uncharacterized. The record is from RefSeq and is a predicted model, not a curated record. The transcript has 3 exons. NCBI's taxonomy places the organism in Eukaryota, Metazoa, Chordata, Mammalia, Artiodactyla, Balaenopteridae.
AUCAAAACCACAAUGAGCUAUCACCUCACCCCUGUUAGGAUGACAGUCAUCAAAAGGACAAUAAAUAACAAGUGGUUAUGAGAACAUGG